This 253-nucleotide ribosomal RNA is filed under the name uncultured bacterium. RNAcentral describes it as "partial 16S ribosomal RNA". It matches the Rfam family "Bacterial small subunit ribosomal RNA", at positions 524 to 776 of the family's 1533-position model. The record is from RNAcentral.
CACGUAGGGCGCAAGCGUUGUCCGGAAUUAUUGGGCGUAAAGCGCACGUAGGCGGCUUGGCAAGUCGGAUGUGAAAUCCCUCGGCUCAACCAAGGAAGUGCAUCCGAAACUGCUGAGCUUGAGUACUUAAGAGGAUCGCGGAAUUCCCGGUGUAGAGGUGAAAUUCGUAGAUAUCGGGAGGAACACCAGUGGCGAAGGCGGCGAUCUGGGAAGAUACUGACGCUGAGGUGCGAAAGCGUGGGGAGCAAACAGG